CUGUUCAGAUGUGUCCCUUAUCCGGCUCAAACGUUACUCGUCGAAACGUCUCGAUGAUACCGGACUCAAGAGUUUCUCCUCUACCGUACCUAAAUUCAUGUAAUUACAGGAACAUGUCGUUCCCUUCGAGGGUUCCAUAACCUUCACUUUAUGAGGGUUUAAGAAGAAGAGGCGGACUGUCAUGUGUUUCGUAACCUUCUCCGUUGACCCGCUGGUUUCUUAAUCAAGUAACCAAGGUAUGCGGUACCGUCUUUCACCUCCGGCUAGGGGUCCUACUGGGAAAGACGGCCUAAGUUAAUUCUACUGCUUUUCAAAAAACGGUUCCGGAAAAAAGGUCAUACGCAAACUUAUACCUGUGUCUGAGUUUCUUGCCACCCUAGAAAUACACCAGCCCGAGGUUCACCUGGAAGUUGGUACUCAGGAAGUGGACAGGCAACGAGCUGCCAGACGGGUUUGGACACGGCCCAGCAUCCUACUUUCGACGAAAAUGACUCAAGAUGAGUUACAUCGCCGCGUUAUCCUCAAUAAAAACAUAAUGGCGAGACGAUAACGUUCGAAGUAGACCUAGACAAUACAGUAGGUAUACUCGAUUCAACUCUCCCUUUACCUUCUCCUCCGAACCAAGCUGUACUAGAAGACAGUGCAGUUAGGAACAAGGAGUCUCGCCGCUAGUGUGUUGCCUGCCCUAAUACCUCAGCAGUUUGCUGUAAUGUCAACGUAGUUUCUAUCUUUCUUAGGAGUUCUAGGACCACGUAAGAAAAAACGACAGCUUUGACUUCUUUCUUUCACGGUCUUGUUGUAGGACACAAGUAAAAGAAAAAUUAAAAGAAGGUGCUCUUAGUACCAAGACAUUUGUGUCGUCGUCAAAGUUUUACCGAGUUUUUCAUGUUACGUAAGAAACA
Molecule: ribosomal RNA, 902 nt
Filed under: Triticum aestivum (bread wheat)
Lineage: Eukaryota; Viridiplantae; Streptophyta; Magnoliopsida; Poales; Poaceae
Description: partial small subunit ribosomal RNA
Source: RNAcentral